This 27-nucleotide non-coding RNA is filed under the name Homo sapiens (human). Lineage: Eukaryota; Metazoa; Chordata; Mammalia; Primates; Hominidae. The record is from RNAcentral.
UCUACCCACAGACAAGGGCCCAUCUUC